Molecule: ribosomal RNA, 253 nt
Filed under: uncultured bacterium
Lineage: Bacteria
Description: partial 16S ribosomal RNA
Rfam family: Bacterial small subunit ribosomal RNA
Source: RNAcentral
UACGGAGGGUGCAAGCGUUAUCCGGAUUCACUGGGUUUAAAGGGUGCGUAGGCGGGCAAGUAAGUCCGUGGUGAAAUCUCUGAGCUUAACUCAGAAACUGCCAUGGAUACUAUUUGUCUUGAAUAUUGUGGAGGUAAGCGGAAUAUGUCAUGUAGCGGUGAAAUGCUUAGAUAUGACAUAGAACACCAAUUGCGAAGGCAGCUUACUACACAGUUAUUGACGCUGAGGCACGAAAGCGUGGGGAGCAAACAGG